Pyronema omphalodes is the source of this 74-nucleotide non-coding RNA. The record is from the annotation of a GenBank genome assembly. NCBI's taxonomy places the organism in Eukaryota, Fungi, Ascomycota, Pezizomycetes, Pezizales, Pyronemataceae.
GCCUCGCUAGCUCAAUCGGUUAGAGCGUCAGACUCUUAAUCUGAAGGUUGCGGGUUCGACCCCCGCGUGGGGCU